This is a long non-coding RNA of Rhodamnia argentea, 288 nucleotides long. RefSeq lists it as uncharacterized. The record is from RefSeq and is a predicted model, not a curated record. The transcript is spliced from 3 exons. NCBI's taxonomy places the organism in Eukaryota, Viridiplantae, Streptophyta, Magnoliopsida, Myrtales, Myrtaceae.
GUGUUGACUGAUGGGCAAUAGGAAAAUCGUCAUCCUUGCCGGUGGCCUCUUGGGAACGCCUCUUGUAGGGUCUUCCAUGUCUGGAUGGUAUGGCUUUAGACACCCCACAUGGAAGACAGGGUGGAUCUUUAGCUUGGGAAGAAGCUGAAGUUUUUAGUAAACUUGUCCUACUUUCUGUAUGAUAGGGAAUGUCCCCUCAUACUUGCGGCUGACCUCCUUACUCAAAAAGAAGGAAAGAUUUUUUGCAAGAGUUGAUUUUUUUUUUAUCUUCCUUCCGCUUGGAAAUUU